GAUGAACGCUGGCGGCGUGCCUAAUACAUGCAAGUCGAGCGAACGGACGAGAAGCUUGCUUCUCUGAUGUUAGCGGCGGACGGGUGAGUAACACGUGGAUAACCUACCUAUAAGACUGGGAUAACUUCGGGAAACCGGAGCUAAUACCGGAUGAUAUUUUGAACCGCAUGGUGCAAAAGUGAAAGACGGUCUUGCUGUCACGUAUAGAGGGAUCCGCGCUGCAUUAGCUAGUUGGUAAGGUAACGGCUUACCAAGGCAACGAUGCAUAGCCGAGCUGAGAGAGUGAUCGGCCACACUGGAACUGAGACACGGACCAGACUCCUACGGGAGGCCGCAGUCGCGAAUCUUCCGCAGUGGGCGAAAGCCUGACGGAGCAGCGCCGCGUGAGUGAUGACGGUCUUCCGAUCGUAAAACUCUGUUAUUAGGUAAGAACAUAUGUGUAAGUAACUGUGCCCAUCUUGACGGUACCUAAUCAGAAAGCCCCGGCUAACUACGUG
Molecule: ribosomal RNA, 497 nt
Filed under: uncultured bacterium
Lineage: Bacteria
Description: partial 16S ribosomal RNA
Rfam family: Bacterial small subunit ribosomal RNA
Source: RNAcentral